UACGUGGGGGGCUAGCGUUGUCCGGAAUCAUUGGGCGUAAAGCGCGUGUAGGCGGUCCGGUAAGUCCGCUGUGAAAGUCGGGGGCUCAACCCUCGGAUGCCGGUGGAUACUGUCGGGCUUGAGUACGGAAGAGGCGAGUGGAAUUCCUGGUGUAGCGGUGAAAUGCGCAGAUAUCAGGAGGAACACCAAUUGCGAAGGCGGCUCGCUGGGACGUUACUGACGCUGAGACGCGAAAGCGUGGGGAGCAAACAGG
This 253-nucleotide ribosomal RNA is filed under the name uncultured bacterium. RNAcentral describes it as "partial 16S ribosomal RNA". It matches the Rfam family "Bacterial small subunit ribosomal RNA", at positions 524 to 776 of the family's 1533-position model. The record is from RNAcentral.